This 253-nucleotide ribosomal RNA is filed under the name uncultured bacterium. RNAcentral describes it as "partial 16S ribosomal RNA". It matches the Rfam family "Bacterial small subunit ribosomal RNA", at positions 524 to 776 of the family's 1533-position model. The record is from RNAcentral.
GACGUAGGGCGCGAGCGUUGUCCGGAUUUAUUGGGCGUAAAGAGCUCGUAGGCGGCGCGGCAAGUCCAUGGUGAAAGCUCGUGGCUCAACUGCGAGUCGGCCAAGGAUACUGCUGCGCUCGAGCACUGUAGAGGCAGGUGGAAUUCCGGGUGUAGCGGUGGAAUGCGCAGAUAUCAGGAAGAACACCCGUGGCUAAGGCGGCUCUCUAGUACGGUACUGACGCUGAGGCGCGAAAGCGUGGGGAGCGAACAGG